Molecule: ribosomal RNA, 253 nt
Filed under: uncultured bacterium
Lineage: Bacteria
Description: partial 16S ribosomal RNA
Rfam family: Bacterial small subunit ribosomal RNA
Source: RNAcentral
UACAGAGGUCUCAAGCGUUGUUCGGAUUUAUUGGGCGUAAAGGGUGCGUAGGUGGCGCCGUAAGUCAGGCGUGAAAUCUCGGGGCUCAACCCCGAAACUGCAUUUGAUACUGCGGUGCUCGAGUACUGGAGAGGAGAUUGGAAUUUACGGUGUAGCAGUGAAAUGCGUAGAUAUCGUAAGGAAGACCAGUGGCGAAGGCGAAUCUCUGGACAGUUACUGACACUGAGGCACGAAGGCCAGGGGAGCAAACGGG